RNAcentral lists this transfer RNA (64 nucleotides) under Melasis buprestoides. Its description in RNAcentral is "tRNA-His". It matches the Rfam family "tRNA". Rfam says of the family: Transfer RNA (tRNA) molecules are approximately 80 nucleotides in length. Their secondary structure includes four short double-helical elements and three loops (D, anti-codon, and T loops). Lineage: Eukaryota; Metazoa; Arthropoda; Insecta; Coleoptera; Eucnemidae. The record is from RNAcentral.
GUUUGAAUAGUUUAAGGUAAAAUAUUGAUUUGUGGAAUCAAGGAUAUAUAAGAUAUUUCAGAUA